RNAcentral lists this long non-coding RNA (531 nucleotides) under Anser cygnoides (Swan goose). Its description in RNAcentral is "lncRNA (ENSACDG00005018433.1)". Lineage: Eukaryota; Metazoa; Chordata; Aves; Anseriformes; Anatidae. The record is from RNAcentral.
GCCUGAGGAGAAACAGGGCCUGUGAGGGGUGGGAGGAGAGAAGUAAAAGGUUCCUCCCCUGAAGGGAAGAGUGUGGGUGUAAAGGUGACGCUGUCUGAGCAAGUAGGGAAGCUGCUGGUUGAAAAUCUGGGAGAAGAUGCAUGGCCUAGAGGCUGAGUGUUUUCUGCAUGUAUUUUAAGGGAAAAUGGCAGGCAAUUCCAUGCAGAGCUCUGGCUGAGAAACAUCUGCACAGCCUUUGCUCUGCAGAGAGGCUCCUCUGAAGGUGCCCCUUGCACACAAACCAGACCCUGGAUGUUCUCACACUUACGUCAGUUAACGUUGCCUGGUGCUGGAGGUGGCAUUGGGCAUAACCCAGCUUAUUAUGGCUGCUAUAUGGAUUGGCUUUGUGUGAAUGACCAUCUCCAUAUGCUGGCAAUAUCAAAGGUUCCUCUUUCCACCUCUCUUUGGACAGUGAUUGCUUCUCCUCCAUUUCUCCUGCUGUGUGCCAUGACAUGUCUUUUCUGCCGGUUCACAGGGAUGAGACUUUUAUAA